RNAcentral lists this transfer RNA (77 nucleotides) under Chloroflexota bacterium. RNAcentral's name for it is "Chloroflexi bacterium (hydrothermal vent metagenome) tRNA-Arg". It matches the Rfam family "tRNA". Rfam says of the family: Transfer RNA (tRNA) molecules are approximately 80 nucleotides in length. Their secondary structure includes four short double-helical elements and three loops (D, anti-codon, and T loops). The record is from RNAcentral. Lineage: Bacteria; Bacillati; Chloroflexota.
GCCCCCGUAGCUCAAUGGGACAGAGCGCCGGACUUCGAAUCCGUAGGUUGCGCGUUCGAGUCGCGCCGGGGGCGCCU